AUGGAAUAAAAGGGGAAUCUUCUGGAGUGUCGGUCUCAGGCUGUUACAACUCUCCUAGACUAACACGAGAUCUCGCCCCGAGAUCUAAGAAUUAAAGGGAAGAGGAAGAGGUAAAACUCAGGUGCUUCUAUGACAAACGAGUGAAACCAAUGAAACUUAGAGGUUGCGAAGAGAUGAAGAAUGACAUGAGGAACAAGCAGGAAUUCAAUAGAAAUUUUGACAACACUUCGGUAGGAAAUUGAGGACAAAAUUUGAUAAGAUGGAAAGAUCUUGACAAGAUUCACAACAAACCAACUAAAUUGAUAAGCAAGGAAAGAACAUGAAAUAAUACAUAACCUCUGGUUAAAU
Molecule: long non-coding RNA, 348 nt
Filed under: Hordeum vulgare
Lineage: Eukaryota; Viridiplantae; Streptophyta; Magnoliopsida; Poales; Poaceae
Description: long non-coding RNA (HVUL_LNC003945)
Source: RNAcentral